RNAcentral lists this ribosomal RNA (434 nucleotides) under uncultured bacterium. RNAcentral describes it as "partial 16S ribosomal RNA". It matches the Rfam family "Bacterial small subunit ribosomal RNA", at positions 29 to 507 of the family's 1533-position model. The record is from RNAcentral.
AGCGAACGCUGGCGGCAGGCCUAACACAUGCAAGUCGAACGAACCUUUCGGGGUUAGUGGCGGACGGGUGAGUAACACGUGGGAACGUGCCUUUAGGUUCGGAAUAACUCAGGGAAACUUUUGCUAAUACCGAAUGUGCCCUUCGGGGGAAAGAUUUAUCGCCUUUAGAGCGGCCCGCGUCUGAUUAGCUAGUUGGUUGAGGUAAUGGCUCACCAAGGCGACGAUCAGUAGCUGGUCUGAGAGGAUGAUUAGCCACAUUGGGACUGAGACACGGCCCAAACUCCUACGGGAGGCAGAAGUGGGGAAUCGUGCGCAAUGGGAGAAAGCCUGACGCAGCCAUGCCGCGUGAAUGAUGAAGGUCUUAGGAUUGUAAAAUUCUUUCACCGGGGACGAUAAUGACGGUACCCGGAGAAGAAGCCCCGGCUAACUUCGUG